AUACGGAGGAUCCGAGCGUUAUCCGGAUUUAUUGGGUUUAAAGGGAGCGUAGAUGGAUGUUUAAGUCAGUUGUGAAAGUUUGCGGCUCAACCGUAAAAUUGCAGUUGAUACUGGAUAUCUUGAGUGCAGUUGAGGCAGGCGGAAUUCGUGGUGUAGCGGUUAAAUGCUUAGAUAUCACGAAGAAAUCCGAUUGCGAAGGCAGCCUGCUAAGCUGCAACUGACAUUGAGGCUCGAAAGUGUGGGUAUCAAACAGGAUUAGAUACCCUGGUAGUCCACACGGUAAACGAUGAAUACUCGCUGUUUGCGAUAUACUGCAAGCGGCCAAGCGAAAGCGUUAAGUAUUCCACCUGGGGAGUACGCCGGCAACGGUGAAACUCAAAUGAAUUGGCGGGG
Molecule: ribosomal RNA, 393 nt
Filed under: uncultured bacterium
Lineage: Bacteria
Description: partial 16S ribosomal RNA
Rfam family: Bacterial small subunit ribosomal RNA
Source: RNAcentral